RNAcentral lists this ribosomal RNA (533 nucleotides) under uncultured soil bacterium. RNAcentral's name for it is "bacterial SSU rRNA". The stretch from base 14 to 378 matches the Rfam family "Bacterial small subunit ribosomal RNA", at positions 39 to 400 of the family's 1533-position model. The record is from RNAcentral.
AGGAUGAACGCUGGCGGCGUGCUUAACACAUGCAAGUCGAACGAUGAUCCCAGCUUGCUGGGGGAUUAGUGGCGAACGGGUGAGUAACACGUGAGUAACCUGCCCUUAACUCUGGGAUAAGCCUGGGAAACUGGGUCUAAUACCGGAUAUGACUCCUCAUCGCAUGGUGGGGGGUGGAAAGCUUUAUUGUGGUUUUGGAUGGACUCGCGGCCUAUCAGCUUGUUGGUGAGGUAAUGGCUCACCAAGGCGACGACGGGUAGCCGGCCUGAGAGGGUGACCGGCCACACUGGGACUGAGACACGGCCCAGACUCCGUACGGGAGGCAGCAGGUGGGAAUAUUGACACAAUGGGACGAAAGCCUGAUGCAGGCGACGCCGCGUGGAGGGAUGGACGGUCCGUUCGGGUUAGUUAAACCCUCGUUUACCAGGUUAACGGAAGAAGACGAAAGGUGAACGGUACCGUAGACGAAGAAGAACGCGACCGGACUAACGUACGUGACCAGCCACGUCCGGACGUAACGUCGUAGGACGCGG